RNAcentral lists this ribosomal RNA (467 nucleotides) under uncultured bacterium. Its description in RNAcentral is "partial 16S ribosomal RNA". It matches the Rfam family "Bacterial small subunit ribosomal RNA", at positions 28 to 507 of the family's 1533-position model. The record is from RNAcentral.
GACGAACGCUGGCGGCGUGCUUAACACAUGCAAGUCGAACGGAAAGGCCCUGCUUUUGUGGGGUGCUCGAGUGGCGAACGGGUGAGUAACACGUGAGUAACCUGCCCUUGACUUUGGGAUAACUUCAGGAAACUGGGGCUAAUACCGGAUAGGAGCUCCUGCUGCAUGGUGGGGGUUGGAAAGUUUCGGCGGUUGGGGAUGGACACGCGGCUUAGCAGCCUGUGGGUGGGGUAGUGGCUACCAAGGCUUUGACGGGUAGCCGGCCUGAGAGGGGGACCGGCCACAUUGGGACUGAGAUGCGGCCCAGACGCCUACGGGAGGCAGCAGUGGGGAAUAUUGCACAAUGGGCGGAAGCCUGAUGCAGCAACGCCGCGUGCGGGAUGACGGCCUUCGGGUUGUAGACCGCUUUCGCCUGUGACGAAGCGUGAGUGACGGUAAUGGGUAAAGAAGCACCGGCUAACUACGUG